GUAAUACACUCUCCGUCCAAAAAUACUUGUUCUAGAAAUGGUUGUAUCUAGAUUUAUUUUGAUUAUAGAUAUAUCAAUUUUAUUCAUUUCUAGGACAAGUAUUUCCGGACGGAGGAAGUACACU
Triticum aestivum (bread wheat) is the source of this 124-nucleotide non-coding RNA. The record is from Rfam. NCBI's taxonomy places the organism in Eukaryota, Viridiplantae, Streptophyta, Magnoliopsida, Poales, Poaceae.